UACGGAGGGUGCAAGCGUUGUCCGGAUUUAUUGGGUUUAAAGGGUGCGUAGGCGGCCCUGUAAGUCAGUGGUGAAAUACUGCAGCUUAACUGUAGCAUUGCCAUUGAUACUGUAGGGCUUGAGUACAGAUGAGGUAGGCGGAAUUGAUGGUGUAGCGGUGAAAUGCAUAGAUACCAUCAAGAACACCGAUUGCGAAGGCAGCUUACUAAGCUGUAACUGACGCUGGAGGCACGAAAAGCCGUGGGGGAUCGAAACAGGG
RNAcentral lists this ribosomal RNA (259 nucleotides) under uncultured bacterium. RNAcentral's name for it is "partial 16S ribosomal RNA". It matches the Rfam family "Bacterial small subunit ribosomal RNA", at positions 524 to 777 of the family's 1533-position model. The record is from RNAcentral.